This 253-nucleotide ribosomal RNA is filed under the name uncultured bacterium. RNAcentral's name for it is "partial 16S ribosomal RNA". It matches the Rfam family "Bacterial small subunit ribosomal RNA", at positions 524 to 776 of the family's 1533-position model. The record is from RNAcentral.
UACGUAGGUGGCAAGCGUUGUCCGGAUUUACUGGGCGUAAAGGAUGCGUAGGCGGACAUUUAAGUCAGAUGUGAAAUACCCGAGCUUAACUUGGGUGCUGCAUUUGAAACUGGGUGUCUAGAGUGCAGGAGAGGUAAGUGGAAUUCCUAGUGUAGCGGUGAAAUGCGUAGAGAUUAGGAAGAACACCAGUGGCGAAGGCGACUUACUGGACUGUAACUGACGCUGAGGCACGAAAGCGUGGGGAGCAAACAGG